UACAGAGGGGGCUAGCGUUGCUCGGAAUCACUGGGCGUAAAGGGUGCGUAGGCGGGUCUUUAAGUCAGGGGUGAAAUCCUGGAGCUCAACUCCAGAACUGCCUUUGAUACUGAAGAUCUUGAGUUCGGGAGAGGUGAGUGGAACUGCGAGUGUAGAGGUGAAAUUCGUAGGUAUUCGCAAGAACACCAGUGGCGAAGGCGGCUCACUGGCCCGAUACUGACGCUGAGGCACGAAAGCGUGGGGAGCAAACAGG
Molecule: ribosomal RNA, 253 nt
Filed under: uncultured bacterium
Lineage: Bacteria
Description: partial 16S ribosomal RNA
Rfam family: Bacterial small subunit ribosomal RNA
Source: RNAcentral